This 4777-nucleotide long non-coding RNA is filed under the name Erythranthe guttata (spotted monkey flower). RNAcentral describes it as "long non-coding RNA (EGUT_LNC002338)". Lineage: Eukaryota; Viridiplantae; Streptophyta; Magnoliopsida; Lamiales; Phrymaceae. The record is from RNAcentral.
AUUUUGUUUAUUUUCGAAAAUAGAGAGAGAGCCGCGUGUCUCAAGGUGUAGAGUCAUCAGCAUCUUCUUCCUCCGAUAACUACCUCGUCAUCUCGUCUCAAAUUUCUUCAUCACUCCCAUUCUUACUCAGCACAUAAACUACACCACCCAGAAAUUCAAGACAUGGAAUAUCAAAAACCAUAAGAAGAAAUAAGAAGUAAGAAGAAGCUAAGGUUCAAUCGACGGAGAGAAGAUGGUGACUUGACGUUCAAUCGACGGAGAGAAGAUGGUGACUUGACGAUCUUUCUGGUGGAGUUCCAGCGAGCGGGGUAUGCGUUGAAAGCCGCUGUAGAAGCUUUGAUUUGGUGGAAAUUCUACCCGUUUGAUUUAGUGACGAUUGCUCGAUUUUGUCAAAGAUAUUCAGCCUACUAUUAAUUUUAUAAUCCGAUUUGAUGUAUUUUGACUUCGAAUUUCAAUUUCGUUUCUUCAUAAAAAUCGUAGAAUAGGCUGAAUACUGUUAGAAUAAUUUAUUUUUCUCAAUUUUAGAACCCUCGUUGAAACUUAUUUUUAACUCUAUAGUAGCUUCAAAAGGAAUUUUCGAAAAUAAAACUUGUUGUUGUUGCUCUGAUUUUCGGAACACAAGUUGGGAGCUUUGGAAUUUGAAUUUUAAAGUCUUUUCUUCUCAAACAUCAUAGAUUUUCUGGAGCACAUUAGUUAUAUGUUGAAGCGCGUUCCAUAUGAUUUGAGUUCUAUAGGCUUUUUGAACAGAGGAAUAUGGGAGUUGAAGCUGUCAAUUCUGGCAGUUCGUAUGAUUAAUCUUUUGGGGUUGAGUCAUAAGUUGAAGUUGUUAUGUUCGAUUUGAUAUAUUAUUUGUUAAAUUUGGAUAACAUUUCGAAUUAUUAUGAUUUUUCAAAACAUACUGCCAGGAAAUGAAUUUUUGUAAAAUCUUGGCAGUUUCUGUUACCCUUUUUGGGGGCUGUUUUAGCUAUGUUGUGCUCAUAAUUCGAAAAUGGUGUCUUCAUUAAACUCGUAGAUAUUGUUCUUGGCUUUAAAUUGGUAUAUUAUGUGUUCUGUUUCGAGAUGUGUAUAGCAUGGUAUUAUUUUUCGAAUAACUUGUACCAAAAAUGAUUUUUCAAUGUUUUGGCAGUUAUGUUACAUGCUGGUUUCGGGUAAUUCUGCUAUAUAUGGUUCAGAAUUUGGGAUUAAAGUCUUCUGUGAACUCGUAGGAUUAUUAGUUAGCUUUCAUUCGAUGUAUUAUGUGAUCAAUUUGAAAAAACUUGGAAUUUGUAAUGAAUUUUUGAGUAAACUGUGGCAGCAUAUAAGUUUUAUUAUUAUGUUGAGAAAAUCGUCAUAUAUGAACAAACUCUGUGGGUAAGGUCUUGGUUCAUUAAUCUGGUAACAUAAACGCGAUGUUUAUGUGUUAAGUUUUGAUGUUUGUUAUGGUGUUAGAUUAAAUUAGAAUUGGUAAGUGAAUUAUUCGGCCUUAAGGGCAUAGAAACCUAGGACGACGUAGAAUGUAUAUUAAUUUAUUUUAAUAAAUAUUUGGUGUCUUAUAGUUUAAAUAUUGCAUAGGUGUUGAGAUCGAGGAACCGUAACAGACGAGUGCUAUUGAUUGGACCAAGGUGAGGGUUCUCUGACCUUUUCCUAGGAAUAUGAUUGUAUCGCUCGAGUACUUGGAUUUUGCUCUCUUUCAUUGAAUUGAUCUAUUCGUUAUCAUUUUGAUUAUCGUUAAUUGAAAUUUAUUGGAUUAUGUUGAGCUUGAGAUUAUUUGAUAUCUUAUCGAGAGUUCAAUUCUUUGAUUUCCAUUUCCUUCGAAUAGUAAUUAUUGAGUGAUCGGUAUAAAAUUCUUUGAAGCCGAUCAUUUUCCUUCGAGUUCUAUUCAAUGGUCUAAACUUCAUGUUUUGAACCAUCAAGCCUUUCUUUGAGCCGUUCACUUGAUCAUGUUUCUCCUGAAUUCUAUCGUCUUUGAAAUCCUGAAAUAAUCGGAAUAAUAUGGUCUUCUUAUAUAAUCGAAGAAGUCCUUUUGGGACGCCUGAAGGACAUUGGAUUUUUAUGGGCCCGAGGCUGUUUGGAGGUGACUGUUGGGCGAUAUCGGGCCGACGGUGGGUAGUCUCUCCAACAGACCCUCAUAGGUUUCGACCCGUACGCAACUGGAAGUUAGUUGGGUUUCGGGCUAAACCGGCAUGCGCCCGUGUUGGGAAUCGGACACGUGUACGUAGCGGAAAACAAAAAUUUUAUGCGAUUUAAAUGAAUUUAAAAAACAUAAACACAUGCCCGAUAAUAGAAAACAAUUAAUUGCGUACCUUUGCGCUUCCAGCGAAAUUAAAAACAACAUACAUGCUUAAUUACUUAACCGAAAUUAAAUCAAUUAGCAUGCUCGCGUUUAAAUCAAAUAAUCAUGCUCGCAAUAAAUAAACGAUUUCAUGUAGUCACAUAAAAUCAUACAAGUUUCAUACUAGAACAAACAUAUAUAUUCGAUUUAAACGUAAUCGAAUCUAACGACAAUGGAUUCAAAAAUUUACCUCUUGAAGCGUGAGGUAGGCGCACUAUGCAAAGCUAGAUUGCCACGGAAACCAACCCGUGCAAUCCGGGGCAGCAACGGCGAAACGGCAGCAGCUACUAGACGAGCUGCGGCGGCGCGUGUGGCUCACGCGCUGUCUUCGGGCGGCGCGUGGGAUUGCGUGCGGCGUCGGCUCGUGUGCUGCUCCUCGAUUCUUCGAUCUUCAAUCUUCCUCCUCUUGGAUUUCACCUCGUAUACUUCGAUCUACUAAACACGUGGCACUAGACACGUAAUAGUUAGAAAAAUGGAAGAACAAAAAGAAGGAAAGAACUACCAAUGCGAAUCGGCCAAGAGAUGGCCGAUUCCGGCGACGGCGGCGUUGGUGCCGGUUGGGAGAGUGGCCGAGAGAGAGAGGGAGCGGCUAGGGUUAGGGUUUCGUGUGUUGUAUGUGUGCAAGACCUAUAAAUCAAGUAUUUAUAGUGUCUUGCAUAAAACCCUAACGGGCUUAAGUUGGACCGGGCCCAACAGCUUAAGUUCGUUAGUUCUUUUACUUGCUCGUCUCUCUCAAUUCGAUGAUCGGAAAAUUGUAACGAUUACAUUUUCGGAAUCAUUAUAAUGUCUUCGUCAUUACGAGUGCCAACUCUCGAUUUCCAACUUUCCAAAAGUGGAAACCCUAAUUCAGUGCACUUUCUAAAUUUGGAAACUUCCCGAUUUAGAAAGUCCACUAAUAUGUUUGCCUAUUCUUUUCCUUUUCUUAUUCUCAUUCAUACUUCCAAAUUACGAAUGUUGGACCCAAUCAUGCAAAGAUAAACCAUUUUAUCUCUUACCGUUUAUUCAAAGAUCUCAUGUGCACGAGCAGUGUGACCCUCGAUGGUUCAUGUGUAAGCUAGCCAUGGGCCCACAACCCUUUGUGGUCAAAACUCGUCCCUUAGAGUUACGAUUAAGUUGAAACUCGUUUCACCUUAAUCACCCAACGAAUCAAGAUUGGCGUCUAGCAACUACGCGUCAUGAUUCCCUAGAUACAAAUGAAGUGCCUGCAAGAACCUUCAGAUAUAGUUAACGUACAGUACGAUCCCUUCGAUUCAUAUGUCCCGAUUGAACUAGAGGCAUUGGUUCAUCGAGACCUUUUUAUUUGUUCAAUGACCAUGCGAUCGUUCUAAGUGUUGUAAUCGUUACGUGCAUGAGUUAGAGAAUCGAAUUCUCUAAUCAUCACUUAGUCAGCUCUGGCCAGAGACUUAAAGUGAUUACAAACUAUCAGAACACACAUGACAUCCAAGACUAUUCUAGCGAUCGAAUCCCCGACUACAAUGCACAGACCUCCACUAGAUUUCGGACUGCACGAACACUGGCCCUUGGGAUGGUCCUCGGUGGAACUCAGGGACAGGUCACGAUACAGCUGGUCCUCUAGUGAAGUCACGGUGAUGUCUAGGUCAUAAGGACUAAUGGUGUACAACUAUACCAUAGAUAUCUCUACUCGAUUAUUGGGAACCACUUAGAGAUUUCUAGGGUGAGGGAGUUCAGUGAACUCGUCAACUUACGAGCACCCACUUAUGCAUGCCGAUAUCACAAUAUCGUUUACUGAUGAGAUGCAGUACACAUACACUAAGUGCUAGUCUCUUAAUGGGAAAGGCCGAUAUCCUCAUUGGUGGCGUAACCCUUCGACUAGGAACAUGUUUAACAGUUAUAAUACUUAAGUAAAUAUCUCACGAUCCUAACGAUCAAUUACUAGUACUUGUAAUAACUGUAAGGAUUAUAUCUAUGCUUGUGACAAAGGGACAAAGAUAUAGAAUGCCAAGGUGUUUUAUCAUUAAUACGAAUAAAGGUUCGUUCAUUACCAUAAUAAAUACGAAAGACCACAGCCACAUGUUGGCUUGUUGGUCACCUACUCUAACAGCCCGGGCAUGCCACAUUGCAUUACAGGGUCAUUACCUGCUCGGUAAAUAAGAUAGUAAACGGCUACGGGAGUCACAAGGUAGGUGUAUUCUUAUCUCUAUUGAUCCAAAAAUCGAUUAAUCAUUCUUACUAUUUAUUCUUGAAUUUCCAAUCGAAAUAUAACCUUUAAACGCUUCUAUUUUCCGAUAUCACCUAAUGGUUCGAUCAUUGAACUUUCCCUCGGAUCAUGUCGUCACUCGUUAUUCUUAUAUUUAACCUCACUAAGUCUUCUAUGACUUGUCCCUCAAUUUUAUUUUGUCAUAUUUUCAGAUACAGGUGCAGCUUGAAUAGAACAGAGGAUUUCCCGUCCGAGUAGCUGCCUUGUUUAUAUUUGUAAAAUAGUUGUUCGAUUAAGUUAAGAAUAAU